Molecule: long non-coding RNA, 4684 nt
Organism: Felis catus (domestic cat)
Lineage: Eukaryota; Metazoa; Chordata; Mammalia; Carnivora; Felidae
Exons: 3
Source: RefSeq, a predicted model, not a curated record
ACACUUUGUUAAAAAAGAAGCCCGUUAUUUUCUAGAAGGGCUUCUGAAAUGAACUGUUAGUUGGUCAUUGAUUAUUUAGAGAGACAAGAGAGUGAGCAAGGAAAAAAAUUAUGUGGGAAACAGCUGAUAAGAGCCAUGAUGAAGUAAGGAUGAUCUUCUCCAAGAUGUAAACAAAAAUGAUUGCAUUAAAAGGGCUCACCGCUUUCCAGGGCACUGCUAAUGCACAUCCCCGUGCACUAAUCCACAGUCACCAGGCCUUUUGCCUUGGAAGCAGGAACAUUUAGUCCUCUGGCGGGGCUGCCCUUAGGGAAUAAACAAACACAAUGUGGCAUGGGAUUUGUCGCCCAUUAAAUGGACACUGCUGUGGGUUGUUUUUUGUUUUUGUUUUUUUCUUUAUUUUUGAGAGAGAGAGUGAGAGAGGGGCAGAGAGAGGGAGAGAGAAAAUCCCAAGCAGACUCUGCACUGUCAGCGCAGGGCCCGAAGUGGGGCUGGAUCCCAGGAACUCUGAAGUCAGGAGCUGGAUGCUUAAUGGACUGAGCCAUCCAAGUGACACUGGAGUUUUGAGGCAGGCCCUUCAAGGAAAGGAGGCCAACCUGAGGGGUUACACGGAUCUGGGCUGACGGCAAUUGCUCAAUUGCUCAUCUUAUAAAUUGUGCAAUUUAGAGCAAACGACCUAGCAUUUCUGAUUCUUCGUUGUCCUACCUAGAAUUUUCCUUGCCAUAUUAAGCUGUCAUGAAGAGUGGAGCCUUCAGAAACGAACUGCCUAGGUUUAGAUCUCAUUUCUACUGUUUUCCUGCUGUGUGACUUUGGGCAAUUCACUUAAUCUCCCUGUGCCCCAGUUUUCUCAGCUGCGAAGUGAGGAACAGAAUAGAAACCACCUCACCGUCACUGCAAGGAUUAAGUGCAAUAACAUCUGUAAAAUGCUUACGGCAACGUCUGGCACGUCGUGAGUGCUAGUAAAGUGCGUGCUGUUGUGGCCAGCAGCAAACUCCUCUCCUUUAGUGUUCUGUCAAUUAAUUUACAUUCCUUGACCUUUGACAUUGACUUAAGCCAAUAAAAAAAAAAAAAGGAAAGCAAGAGAAAAGAAAAAAAAAAGAAAUUAAAAAGUGUCAUUUGGAAUUUGAUAGAAGGAAUAUAAAUUAUUCUCAUCCCAAUAUAAAUUAUUUGCGUACUCUCUUACCAAAACCACUUCGGAUUAAGUAAACCACACUUCCUCCCCGUUGUGUGAAGCAUCAGGAUUCAGUACAAUGGUGCUCUGAGAAUGAAAAUACCACUCUACUCACAUACACCGAAGGCUUAGUGACAGUACUAAAUGAAGGAAACAUCAGGCUGUAUCAUACAGGAUACUCUGCGGUAUAAACUACCUAGGAGACGUUGCAUUUACGCAGUUUCAACCACUGUUUAACCAUUUUAUAACAUAAUGUCAUGAUUAUGUCCAAACUUCUCAACAUGUUCCAGCAAAGUAAAGGGGUUCUAAGAGAAGCAGGAUCAUUAACCAGCAACGACCCAUCACGACCAAUCAAGCCGCAGCUAACUGAACCCGGAAAAACUGCUGACUUACAAGGUGCUGGGCCCCAUGAGUCUGCAAAGCACCCAGAAGACUGAGAACCACGCUUCACGUGCCAGAAAAGACAUGUUGCAACUCAUCUGGGAUGAAGGAAAAACCAUUCUUUUUCUUUAAGAGUUCAUUAGAUGAAAACAACUAUGCAAAAACAAACAGAAGAAAUAUAUAAUGAUGUCAUAUUGAAUGUCACAGACUGAAACCACCCAGGUCAUGGAGAACUAAGGAUUUGAAAUAAUGUAUGGACCACGGAGAGGAAAAAGGAACAAGGCGAGCAAUGCAUGAGGAAAGAAGAUAGAACAUAGAGAGGAGUGAAUUAAUGUGUGUGCUUAAUUCACUUAGGGAAGAGCGCCGACUCAUUGUGAGCCCAGGAUUGAGGAGACUUGCAUACAUUUCUACUAUACUGCCUGGAUUUUGAUACUAUGGAUAUAGCAUUGAUGACGGUCUUUGGUGCUAAAUGAUGCUUUGACCAAGUAGAUGUUCAGAUAAGUUCUGCCAGGACACACAAAUAGCACUUUCAUCGGCCGCUGCUCCAAGGGAACUGCUUCUGUUAUGUGUACUUAGCUAGUGUUUUCCAGAAAGACUGAAGCUGUUUAGCCUCAGAGCUUUAUAGAUUAUUCUUUUUUUGGAAAAUACUGAGAGUCGCCACUAUCUGCUUUGAAUGUUUCGUAUUUUAAUGCCUAAGAAAUAUGUGUGCAAUGGGUGAGUAGAUGAUACUUUUUUUAAAAUUGCAAAUUGUAAAAUAUAACCGAACUCUUAAACACCAUACAAUCAGAAUCACGAAAGCAAGCUACUCAGAAAUGGAGUCUCAAUGCCGAGUACAGAUCUUUUGUCAGAACUAAGAAACUACAAAUCAAAAUGUGGCCAUCUUGAGCCUCUUGUAAGGUCUUUAGAUAUGACACCACGAGGUCAAGACAUAGAACUCCGAGUGUGCAUGUGUUUUCAUGUUUAUAUACUGUGAGUUUGCUUUGUGCCCACUAACUUAUUAAGUACCUUCCUCCUUUCAGUUAAUCCAGUACUAAGGAGGCACUACAUUUUUGUAUAAAAUGGGUUUUAAGCUUUGCCCAAAGGGGAAAUACAUCAUUAUUUUUCAAGGAUUUUUCUUUUUGGAAAGCAUCACGGUGUGUGUUAACAUACAUAAGAGAUUUAAUCUCAGUAAAUGUGAAAGCUAGCUUUCUUAAAUGAUUUUCUUUCCCCAAGUUGACCUAACAGGUAUAGAAGAGAGCCUGCACGUAUUUCAAUUUACAUGCAGGAAAAUGACAAUGAGCUUACAAGAAAGCAUUAUUUAUAGUGUCAGUUCCUGCCUUGCUAAAAUUUGGUGAUUCAGUUAUUCAAACCAUGUAACAGAAUAGAUUUAGUGUAAAUACAAGUUUUAAAAAGAGAUUUUCUUUGCUGAUAAGACCAGAAGCUGAAACACAGACAGAAUUGAAGUCUGUGUAGUAAAUUCAGAGUUUCUCUGUUACUAACAAGAGAGACAAUUUUCUGAAAUGCUCAUUUACAGUGAUCAUUCAUCUGGAUUUCUUUAACAUUUAGAAUGCACCAGGGGAAGCUCAAAUCUGAAUGGAGGAGAAGAAAUAUUUGGAUUUGAUCCUAGUUAGUACCUUAAAAUAUCUAAGUAAGCACCUAUAAGAUGGGCAGUAAUGUAACUUGGAUUUUGUUUUAGUAACCAUAUAGGGCUAUUAUUGUUAUUUUUCCUGUCAUCAUUAGUCAUUAAUGUUAUUGGUGACCGUGGAGUAUAGCACUUUAAUUUUGCAUAGUUGUGAUACAAGUUACUUAUUUGUAACUUGUACAUAGGGCUUUGAAUAUUAAAAGACACAUUUACCAAGGGCCUGGAAUUAAAUAUCAAUGGGGGAUAUACGCCUGCAGAACAUGAACUUGUCAGUGAAAGAGGAAAAGAUCGAUCGUAUCCUCAGAUACUGAUCAAAUUUAUUUUUAAAAUGGAAGAACGUCUCCCAUAGCGAAGCACAGAAAUUGAGCCAAACAUUUGGAAAUAGGUCUUGCGUGAGGACCUAUUAGACACUAUACACUUUAUUCAGUGUAAGAAUAAUUUGGGGGGAGUUAGUAACUGGCAGCAAAAAUUAUCAGCCCUAUUCUUUGAUUUCUAGAUUUGUCUGAGCACGGUUGCCAUGAAAAGUCAUAUUUUGCAGAAAGGAGAGGAAGAAACCUUGAGUCUGAAAUCAGCAGACUUAGAAUCUGUUAUCAACAGCCUCCACUCACAUGAGGAACUUCCUUGACACAUAAUUUCUCUAUCUCUAUUUCCUUAUACAUUAAAAUUGGGAUUUGGGAAAUCAUAUGAGGAGAAAUCCAGAAGAAAAGAUCACAUGGCAGGAAUGCAGCCAGAGGCAACAGAUGAAGAAACGACAGUCCGAAUAACGUUCUAACAGUCCUGCUCACAUCUCUUAGCCUUCUGUUCAGUCAUCGGCAGAUCCCUCCCCGUCUAACGAAUAAAGUGUCACUCUUCAUGCUUAAGGGUCUAAAAUCUGGCCUGAAUUUAAUGUUCAAUACUAAUAUCUCUUUUUUCAUUAAUUUAUUCAAAUGCUGACCAUCACCUAGAAAAUCCGCUUUGGUUUUCUCCCUCUAACAGCAACCCAUAUGCCGACACAGCUAUAAAAUGUUCCUAAACUCCUCAGAUGCUUCUCUCUUCAUUUAUGAUUUUCGUACUUAAUCAGGCACUGCAGAAGAUUGUAAUGCUAUUUAAAGGGUUAUUACAUCUAAAUAUCUCUUUAAAACAUCUUAUUUCCCCCCAAUUAAUUUAUUCUAUUUAUUAACCUUAUCAUCAUUAGUAGCAGCAGUCUCAAGUAAUGUCAAUAAUUCCAUUGCCUAAGUGUUCAUCGUGUGGCAAGCAUUUUAUGUGUCUUAUUUCUCAUCCUUAUAACAGCCUUUUACAGCUAGCUGGAUCAAUGUUGCACACACACAUCAGGCUGACCCAAAGCCUCUCACCACCGUGCAAUGCCCGUCAUCAUCACCAAGGUCACAUAAUGCAGAACAUCCCUGGCAUUCAACAUAUCAGGAUUUGCCUUGAAAGAGUUGCAAUUAAAAAAACAAACAAACAGGGGCGCCUGGGUGGCGCAGUCGGUUAAGCGUCCGACUUCAGCCAGGUCAUGAUCUCGUGGUCCGUGAGUU